GCAAAUUAGAUCCGUAACUUCGGGAUAAGGAUUGGCUCUGAAGAUUGAGAUAGUCGGGCUUGAUUGGGAAACAAUAACAUGGUUUAUGUGCUCGUUCUGGGUAAAUAGAGUUUCUAGCAUUUAUGUUAGUUACUUGUUCCCCGGAUAGUUUAGUUACGUAGCCAAUUGUGGAACUUUCUUGCUAAAAUUUUUAAGAAUACUAUUUGGGUUAAACCAAUUAGUUCUUAUUAAUUAUAACGAUUAUCAAUUAACAAUCAAUUCAGAACUGGCACGGACUUGGGGAAUCCGACUGUCUAAUUAAAACAAAGCAUUGUGAUGGCCCUAGCGGGUGUUGACACAAUGUGAUUUCUGCCCAGUGCUCUGAAUGUCAAAGUGAAGAAAUUCAAGUAAGCGCGGGUCAACGGCGGGAGUAACUAUGACUCUCUUAAGGUAGCCAAAUGCCUCGUCAUCUAAUUAGUGACGCGCAUGAAUGGAUUAACGAGAUUCCUACUGUCCCUAUCUACUAUCUAGCGAAACCACAGCCAAGGGAACGGGCUUGGAAUAAUUAGCGGGGAAAGAAGACCCUUUUGAGCUUGACUCUAAUCUGGCAGUGUAAGGAGACAUAAGAGGUGUAGAAUAAGUGGGAGAUAUUAGACCUCGGUUUGGUAUCGUCAAUGAAAUACCACUACUCUUAUUGUUUCCUUACUUACUUGAUUAAAUGGAACGUGUAUCAUUUCCUAGCCAUUAUACGGAUAUAUUUAUUAUAUCUUAUGGUAUUGGGUUUUGAUGCAAGCUUCUUGAUCAAAGUAUCACGAGUUUGUUAUAUAAUCGCAAACAAAUUCUUUAAUAAAACGAUGCAUUUAUGUAUUUUUGAUUUGAAAAUUUGGUAUAACUCCAAUUACUCAGGUAUGAUCCAAUUCAAGGACAUUGCCAGGUAGGGAGUUUGACUGGGGCGGUACAUCUCUCAAAUAAUAACGGAGGUGUCCCAAGGCCAGCUCAGUGCGGACAGAAACCACACAUAGAGCAAAAGGGCAAAUGCUGACUUGAUCUCGGUGUUCAGUACACACAGGGACAGCAAAAGCUCGGCCUAUCGAUCCUUUUGGUUUAAAGAGUUUUUAACAAGAGGUGUCAGAAAAGUUACCAUAGGGAUAACUGGCUUGUGGCGGCCAAGCGUUCAUAGCGACGUCGCUUUUUGAUCCUUCGAUGUCGGCUCUUCCUAUCAUUGUGAAGCAAAAUUCACCAAGCGUUGGAUUGUUCACCCAUGCAAGGGAACGUGAGCUGGGUUUAGACCGUCGUGAGACAGGUUAGUUUUACCCUACUAAUGACAAAACGUUGUUGCGACAGCAUUCCUGCGUAGUACGAGAGGAACCGCAGGUACGGACCAAUGGCACAAUACUUGUUCGAGCGAACAGUGGUAUGACGCUACGUCCGUUGGAUUAUGCCUGAACGCCUCUAAGGUCGUAUCCGUGCUGGACUGCAAUGAUAAAUAAGGGGCAAUUUGCAUUGU
RNAcentral lists this ribosomal RNA (1486 nucleotides) under Drosophila melanogaster (fruit fly). RNAcentral describes it as "eukaryotic LSU rRNA". It matches the Rfam family "Eukaryotic large subunit ribosomal RNA", at positions 1917 to 3185 of the family's 3401-position model. Lineage: Eukaryota; Metazoa; Arthropoda; Insecta; Diptera; Drosophilidae. The record is from RNAcentral.